CCCUUAGAUGUUCUGGGCCGCACGCGCGCUACAAUGAUGAAUUCAACGAGUUUAUAACCUUGGUUGAAAAGCCUGGGUAAUCUUUUGAACUUUCGUCGUGAUGGGGCUAGACCCUUGCAAUUAUUGGUCUCCAACGAGGAAUUCCUAGUAAACGCAAGUCAUCAGCUUGCAUUGAUUACGUCCCUGCCCUUUGUACACACCGCCCGUCGCACCUACCGAUUGAAUGGUCCGGUGAAAUCUUCGGAUUGAGACUUUGAUUUCUUUAUUGAAAACGCUGUUUUAAGAAGUUGAUUAAACCUUACCAUUUAGAGGAAGGUGAAGUCGUAACA
This 329-nucleotide ribosomal RNA is filed under the name uncultured eukaryote. RNAcentral's name for it is "partial 18S ribosomal RNA". It matches the Rfam family "Eukaryotic small subunit ribosomal RNA", at positions 1470 to 1796 of the family's 1831-position model. The record is from RNAcentral.